Molecule: ribosomal RNA, 451 nt
Filed under: uncultured bacterium
Lineage: Bacteria
Description: partial 16S ribosomal RNA
Rfam family: Bacterial small subunit ribosomal RNA
Source: RNAcentral
GUGGGGAAUAUUGCGCAAUGGGGGAAACCCUGACGCAGCGACGCCGCGUGAGCGAAGAAGGCCUUAGGGUUGUAAAGCUCUGUUUUAAGGGACGAAUGUCGUGGGGAGUAAUAUGCUCUGCGAAUGACGGUACCUUAAGAGGAAGCCCCGGCUAACUACGUGCCAGCAGCCGCGGUAAGACGUAGGGGGCGAGCGUUGUCCGGAAUUACUGGGCGUAAAGAGCACGUAGGCGGGAACUUAAGUCAGGUGUGAAAGACCGGGGCUCAACUCCGGGGUUGCACUUGAAAGUGGGUUUCUUGAGGGCAGGAGAGGAAAGCAGAAUUCCUGGUGUAGCGGUGAAAUGCGUAGAAAUCAGGAGGAAUACCAGUGGCGAAGGCGGCUUUCUGGACUGACCCUGACGCUGAGGUGCGAAAGCGUGGGUAGCAAACAGGAUUAGAUACCCUGGUAGUCC